This 429-nucleotide ribosomal RNA is filed under the name Pseudomonadota bacterium. RNAcentral's name for it is "Proteobacteria bacterium partial 16S ribosomal RNA". It matches the Rfam family "Bacterial small subunit ribosomal RNA", at positions 355 to 776 of the family's 1533-position model. Lineage: Bacteria; Pseudomonadati; Pseudomonadota. The record is from RNAcentral.
UGGGGAAUAUUGGACAAUGGGCGAAAGCCUGAUCCAGCCAUGCCGCGUGUGUGAAGAAGGUCUUCGGAUUGUAAAGCACUUUAAGUUGGGUGGAAGGGCAGUAAGCGAAUACCUUGCUGUUUUGACGUUACCGACAGAAUAAGCACCGGCUAACUCUGUGCCAGCAGCCGCGGUAAUACAGAGGGUGCAAGCGUUAAUCGGAAUUACUGGGCGUAAAGCGCGCGUAGGUGGUUCGUUAAGUUGAAUGUGAAAGCCCCGGGCUCAACCUGGGAACUGCAUCCAAAACUGGCGAGCUAGAGUAGGGCAGAGGGUGGUGGAAUUUCCUGUGUAGCGGUGAAAUGCGUAGAUAUAGGAAGGAACACCAGUGGCGAAGGCGACCACCUGGGCUCAUACUGACACUGAGGUGCGAAAGCGUGGGGAGCAAACAGG